AGAUAAAUGUAUAUCUGGUCUUGUGAAAUUAAUAAUCAUGACUAGAUAUUCCAUUUAUCU
This 60-nucleotide microRNA precursor is filed under the name Parasteatoda tepidariorum (common house spider). RNAcentral's name for it is "microRNA pte-mir-11964 precursor". Lineage: Eukaryota; Metazoa; Arthropoda; Arachnida; Araneae; Theridiidae. The record is from miRBase by way of RNAcentral.